RNAcentral lists this ribosomal RNA (703 nucleotides) under Nocardia sp. YIM 64630. Its description in RNAcentral is "bacterial SSU rRNA". It matches the Rfam family "Bacterial small subunit ribosomal RNA", at positions 70 to 790 of the family's 1533-position model. The record is from RNAcentral. Lineage: Bacteria; Bacillati; Actinomycetota; Actinomycetes; Mycobacteriales; Nocardiaceae.
UAAGGCCCUUCGGGGUACACGAGCGGCGAACGGGUGAGUAACACGUGGGUGAUCUGCCCUGUACUUCGGGAUAAGCCUGGGAAACUGGGUCUAAUACCGGAUAUGACCCCUGGUUGCAUGACUUUGGGUGGAAAGAUUUAUCGGUGCAGGAUGGGCCCGCGGCCUAUCAGCUUGUUGGUGGGGUAACGGCCUACCAAGGCGACGACGGGUAGCCGACCUGAGAGGGUGACCGGCCACACUGGGACUGAGACACGGCCCAGACUCCUACGGGAGGCAGCAGUGGGGAAUAUUGCACAAUGGGCGAAAGCCUGAUGCAGCGACGCCGCGUGGGGGAUGACGGCCUUCGGGUUGUAAACCCCUUUCGACAGGGACGAAGCGCAAGUGACGGUACCUGUAGAAUAAGCACCGGCCAACUACGUGCCAGCAGCCGCGGUAAUACGUAGGGUGCGAGCGUUGUCCGGAAUUACUGGGCGUAAAGAGCUUGUAGGCGGUCUGUCGCGUCUUCUGUGAAAACUUGGGGCUCAACCUUAAGCUUGCAGGGGAUACGGGCAGACUAGAGUACUUCAGGGGAGACUGGAAUUCCUGGUGUAGCGGUGAAAUGCGCAGAUAUCAGGAGGAACACCGGUGGCGAAGGCGGGUCUCUGGGAAGUAACUGACGCUGAGAAGCGAAAGCAUGGGUAGCAAACAGGAUUAGAUACCCUGG